Molecule: regulatory RNA element, 138 nt
Organism: Treponema pedis str. T A4
Lineage: Bacteria; Pseudomonadati; Spirochaetota; Spirochaetia; Treponematales; Treponemataceae
Rfam family: TD-1 RNA
About the family: non coding RNA found in Treponema denticola
Source: Rfam
AAAACACUGCCCGAGUUUGCUUGAAAAAUAGUUUUGCAAACUCGCAUUAUUAUAUGUGCUUUUUCACUUACGUUGCAAAAGCACAAAAAUUCUGCAAUCCUCGACUUUUGAUAAAGUCUGCGGUUGCGGAAUUUAUAG